UCCUUGGUGGUUCAGUGGUUAAGACUCUGAGAUCAUAAUGCAGGGGACCCAGGUUUGAACCCUGGUCAGGGAA
Molecule: transfer RNA, 73 nt
Filed under: Ovis aries (sheep)
Lineage: Eukaryota; Metazoa; Chordata; Mammalia; Artiodactyla; Bovidae
Rfam family: tRNA
About the family: Transfer RNA (tRNA) molecules are approximately 80 nucleotides in length. Their secondary structure includes four short double-helical elements and three loops (D, anti-codon, and T loops).
Source: Rfam by way of RNAcentral